RNAcentral lists this ribosomal RNA (253 nucleotides) under uncultured bacterium. RNAcentral describes it as "partial 16S ribosomal RNA". It matches the Rfam family "Bacterial small subunit ribosomal RNA", at positions 524 to 776 of the family's 1533-position model. The record is from RNAcentral.
UACGAAGGGGGCUAGCGUUGCUCGGAAUCACUGGGCGUAAAGGGUGCGUAGGCGGGUCUUUAAGUCAGGGGUGAAAUCCUGGAGCUCAACUCCAGAACCGCCUUUGAUACUGAAGAUCUUGAGUGCGGGAGAGGUGAGUGGAACUGCGAGUGUAGAGGUGAAAUUCGUAGAUAUUCGCAAGAACACCAGUGGCGAAGGCGGCUCACUGGCCCGAUACUGACGCUGAGGCACGAAAGCGUGGGGAGCAAACAGG